This 459-nucleotide ribosomal RNA is filed under the name uncultured bacterium. Its description in RNAcentral is "partial 16S ribosomal RNA". It matches the Rfam family "Bacterial small subunit ribosomal RNA", at positions 338 to 795 of the family's 1533-position model. The record is from RNAcentral.
CCUACGGGAGGCAGCAGUGAGGAAUAUUGGUCAAUGGGCGGAAGCCUGAACCAGCCAAGUAGCGUGCAGGAUGACGGCCCUACGGGUUGUAAACUUCUUUUAUACGGGAAUAACGCGCAUUACGUGUAGGGCUUUGCAUGUACCGUAUGAAUAAGGACCGGCUAAUUCCGUGCCAGCAGCCGCGGUAAUACGGAAGGCCCGAGCGUUAUCCGGAUUCAUUGGGCUUAAAGGGAGCGUAGGCGGGCGUUCAAGUCAGCUGUAAAAUCGGGCGGCUCAACCGCGCCCCGCAGUUGAAACUGGAAGCCUUGAGUUCAGAAGAGGUAGGCGGAAUUCGUGGUGUAGCGGUGAAAUGCAUAGAUAUCACGAGGAACCCCGAUUGCGAAGGCAGCCUGCCGGGGUGCGACUGACGCUGAGGCUCGAAGGUGCGGGUAUCAAACAGGAUUAGAUACCCGUGUAGUC